This 312-nucleotide long non-coding RNA is filed under the name Setaria viridis. RNAcentral's name for it is "long non-coding RNA (SVIR_LNC009478)". The record is from RNAcentral. Lineage: Eukaryota; Viridiplantae; Streptophyta; Magnoliopsida; Poales; Poaceae.
GGAAAGUCCGUUGCUCUGUUUUUUAACUGACCGGAUGAAAGUGCAAGCAAUAGGCCUUCUUGGUCUCACAACAGUUAUGUAAACGUUGGACAAAGGGAAAAGUCCAUUGUUUAGUAUUUGAAUGGACCAGAUGAAAGUGAAUCUAGAUUAAAAAGAGAAAACCGCAUCACAUUGCAAGAUCGAAGAUAAAACCGCAUCACAAAGUGAUCUAGAUCCAAGAUGAUAAUAGAAUGUUACUAGUACUACCACUAAUUCUUGUUCUUGUUCUUCUACCACUAAUUAUUCUUCUACUUCGACCCCCAAUUCUUCUUC